This 253-nucleotide ribosomal RNA is filed under the name uncultured bacterium. Its description in RNAcentral is "partial 16S ribosomal RNA". It matches the Rfam family "Bacterial small subunit ribosomal RNA", at positions 524 to 776 of the family's 1533-position model. The record is from RNAcentral.
UACGGAGGAGGCAAGCGUUAUCCGGAAUUAUUGGGCGUAAAGCGUCCGUAGGUGGCUAGUCAAGUCUGCGGUCAAAGACUGGGGCUUAACCCUGGAAAGGCCGUGGAAACUGACGAGCUAGAGUGCAGUAGGGGUAGAGGGAAUUCCCGGUGUAGCGGUGAAAUGCGUAGAGAUCGGGAGGAACAUCUGUGGCGAAGGCGACUGCCUGGACCAGCACUGACACUGAGGCACGAAAGCGUGGGGAGCAAACAGG